CAGCCGCCGCGGUAAUACGCAGGGUGCGAGCGUUAAUCGGAAUUACUGGGCGUAAAGCGUGCGCAGGCGGUUAUAUAAGACAGAUGUGAAAUCCCCGGGCUCAACCUGGGACCUGCAUUUGUGACUGUAUAACUAGAGUACGGUAGAGGGGGAUGGAAUUCCGCGUGUAGCAGUGAAAUGCGUAGAUAUGCGGAGGAACACCGAUGGCGAAGGCAAUCCCCUGGACCUGUACUGACGCUCAUGCACGAAAGCGUGGGGAGCAAACAGGAUUAGAUACCCCUGUAGUCCCUGUCUCUUAUAC
RNAcentral lists this ribosomal RNA (301 nucleotides) under uncultured bacterium. RNAcentral's name for it is "partial 16S ribosomal RNA". It matches the Rfam family "Bacterial small subunit ribosomal RNA", at positions 509 to 807 of the family's 1533-position model. The record is from RNAcentral.